Long non-coding RNA from Daucus carota subsp. sativus, 1030 nucleotides. RefSeq lists it as uncharacterized. The transcript is spliced from 3 exons. The record is from RefSeq and is a predicted model, not a curated record. NCBI's taxonomy places the organism in Eukaryota, Viridiplantae, Streptophyta, Magnoliopsida, Apiales, Apiaceae.
CGCGGAAAAUAUGCCCAAAGUAGCGGCUGUUAGUAUUCGAUGAACGCGAAGAAAAAAUAUAGUCGCUGAUAACUGAUGUAGACACAUGUGUCGAUCUGUAAUCUCCGCCGUCGAAUUGAUUGAAAUCUAAUGGCGUACCUUACUUCUCUGCCGUCUAUAAAGAGUAUCACAUCUUAGGAGCCUUCGAGGAAAGUGGGUAGAGCAAUAUUAGGUGGUGCACAAGAAGCAGAAGAAGACCAGGUAUGAAAGCAAAUAAAUCAUCAGAUUUCCAUAAAGGAUCUGCAAGGCAACACGGUGACUAUGAACAAAGGCCUGUUGCAGUGUGGAGUAAGAACUGGAUAAUUGGCAGGUGGUUUGCGUUGCUCUUUUUAUUCUUUUUUGUUUUCGUUGUGGACGCGCAUUGUUUUUUUCUUCUCCGUAGAUACAACCCAGAAGACACAGUUCAUGGAUUGUUAAUUAUGGGCUUUGGAAACCUGGUUGGCUUCGUUUUUCUGGCCGCACAAGCUCAAGAAUUAAAAGAAGAUUCAAAAACCGCGGUUGAUGUGCCUUGGUGGUGCUACGGAUUGACAAGCUAUAGAUCUAAUUAACGAUUCAAUGGUUGGUGAGCAAGGGGUUUGUCCAAAAAUUGAAGCUGCAGUAAGAUAUUACAUCAAUGAUAAAGAUGUGCAUUAUAAAUUUUAUGUUCUACAAUACCCUGCCCGAGUGCCCGGUGUGUAAAUGUUUGUAAUGAGAUUUUAAAUUCCUUAAAUUUGUAGUAUCUGCUGUUGGUGGAGACUUCGUCCCAUAAAUUGUGUAUCUAUGGCUGUGGUCAUGUUGAAGUUUCAUUGUUUUUCACCUUGGUGUGGAGCAGGACAGGACCAUGGGUUGGCGAUGGAUUUAGUGGCAUCCCUAAUUUCGCAAAAGUGUGGUGAAGACUUUUAAGAUCACUCUAUAUUUCAUUUUAUAUAUUCUAUGUGCCUCUUUCAACUGUAUACGGUUUUCUAUGUUCGAGACAUAUUUUGAUAAGAUCUAUUUUCAUAAUUUAUUUCUA